RNAcentral lists this ribosomal RNA (836 nucleotides) under uncultured bacterium. RNAcentral's name for it is "bacterial SSU rRNA". It matches the Rfam family "Bacterial small subunit ribosomal RNA", at positions 82 to 917 of the family's 1533-position model. The record is from RNAcentral.
GAAGUAUGAGUUAGUGGCGGACGGGUGAGUAACGCGUGGAAAACCUGCCGUAUACUGGGGGAUAACACUUAGAAAUAGGUGCUAAUACCGCAUAAGCGCACAGCUUCGCAUGAAGCAGUGUGAAAAACUGAGGUGGUAUACGAUGGUUCCGCGUCUGAUUAGCUAGUUGGUGGGGUAAAAGCCUACCAAGGCAACGAUCAGUAGCCGGCCUGAGAGGGUGAACGGCCACAUUGGGACUGAGACACGGCCCAAACUCCUACGGGAGGCAGCAGUGGGGAAUAUUGCACAAUGGGGGAAACCCUGAUGCAGCGACGCCGCGUGAGUGAAGAAGUAUUUCGGUAUGUAAAGCUCUAUCAGCAGGGAAGAAAUACUGACCAUAGGGUCAGCAGACGGUACUUGACUAAGAAGCCCCGGCUAACUACGUGCCAGCAGCCGCGGUAAUACGUAGGGGGCAAGCGUUAUCCGGAUUUACUGGGUGUAAAGGGAGCGUAGACGGCAGCGCAAGUCUGAAGUGAAAUGCCAGGGCUUAACCCUGGAACUGCUUUGGAAACUGUGCAGCUAGAGUGCAGGAGAGGUAAGUGGAAUUUCUAGUGUAGCGGUGAAAUGCGUAGAUAUUAGGAGGAACACCAGUGGCGAAGGCGGCUUACUGGACUGUAACUGACGUUGAGGCUCGAAAGCGUGGGGAGCAAACAGGAUUAGAUACCCUGGUAGUCCACGCUGUAAACGAUGAUUACUAGGUGUUGGGGGACCAAGGUUCUUCGGUGCCGUCGCAAACGCAAUAAGUAAUCCACCUGGGGAGUACGUUCGCAAGAAUGAAACUCAAAGGAAUUGACGGG